Long non-coding RNA from Pieris brassicae (large cabbage white), 434 nucleotides. RefSeq lists it as uncharacterized. Lineage: Eukaryota; Metazoa; Arthropoda; Insecta; Lepidoptera; Pieridae. The record is from RefSeq and is a predicted model, not a curated record. The transcript has 3 exons.
GUCCACAAUCAUCGCGCUUUGCUACUAUCACAUCAGUGUUUACAAAAUCUCCGUGGCGUGUGUUGUUGUUUAUAAUUUCUUUAAAUCACAAUGGAAUUGUGUUUUGAUGAUACAACUGCGUCACAGAAGUUGAGUUUCGAUGAGAUGUACACGGAUUUCGAUAGUUGGUUGUCAAAAUUUGAUAGAUGCUUAAAAAAAAGGUCAACUUACUUUAAAGAAGUAAAAAAUGACAAAAUGAAAAUAGGCUUAUACAUCGAAGAAAAUAUUAAUCAUUGUAUCCCAAAUUUACUUAAAAAAUGCCAAAACCGCGCGAAAUCUAAUCAUGAAAAUAAUACUUAUAUGUUAACAGAUGGCGCUAUAACAGAAAUUGAUUUAAGACUUCUAGAUCGAUUGUUAUUGAGAUAUUAUUUACGAAAUAUACGGUCUAAACUCUA